UCCCUGGUAGCUCAGCUGGUAAAGAGGUCUGCCUGCAAUGCAGGAGACCCUGGUUUGAUUCCUGGGUUGGGAA
Molecule: transfer RNA, 73 nt
Filed under: Bos taurus (domestic cattle)
Lineage: Eukaryota; Metazoa; Chordata; Mammalia; Artiodactyla; Bovidae
Also listed under: 3 other names
Rfam family: tRNA
About the family: Transfer RNA (tRNA) molecules are approximately 80 nucleotides in length. Their secondary structure includes four short double-helical elements and three loops (D, anti-codon, and T loops).
Source: Rfam by way of RNAcentral